Molecule: ribosomal RNA, 520 nt
Filed under: uncultured Glomus
Lineage: Eukaryota; Fungi; Glomeromycota; Glomeromycetes; Glomerales; Glomeraceae
Description: SSU rRNA
Rfam family: Eukaryotic small subunit ribosomal RNA
Source: RNAcentral
AGCAGCCGCGGUAAUUCCAGCUCCAAUAGCGUAUAUUAAAGUUGUUGCAGUUAAAAAGCUCGUAGUUGAAUUUCGGGACCGAUAUAUCGGUCGUGCCUCGGUACGUACUGGUAUUUUCGGUUUCUACCUUCUGACGAACCUUGAUGUCAUUAAUUUGGUGUCUUGGGGAAUCAGGACUGUUACUUUGAAAAAAUUAGAGUGUUUAAAGCAGGCUCACGCUUGAAUACAUUAGCAUGGAGUAAUGAAAUAGGACGUUCGAUCCUAUUUUGUUGGUUUCUAGGAUCAACGUAAUGAUUAAUAGGGAUAGUUGGGGGCAUUAGUAUUCAAUUGUCAGAGGUGAAAUUCUUGGAUUUAUUGAAGACUAACUACUGCGAAAGCAUUUGCCAAGGAUGUUUUCAUUAAUCAAGAACGAAAGUUAGGGGAUCGAAGACGAUCAGAUACCGUCGUAGUCUUAACCAUAAACUAUGCCGACUAGGGAUCGGAUGAUGUUAAUUUUUUAAUGACUCAUUCGGCGCCUUAC